UGGAUAUAGCAUCAUGAUAGUAGAUUGAUUUAGUACGAGAGGAAACUGUUGAUUAUGGGCUUCUGGUUAGCGAUUAUCGGAAACGGUAUGUCGCGCAGCUACGCCGUCUGGGAUAAUGGCUGAAAGCCUCUUAAGCCAGAAGCCCAUCUAGAAAGUGAUGCACGUGAUGUUGGACCGAUACGAAUAAUCAUACUCAAAAGGUCCGCUUCAUAGGUAACCCAAUGUAGAAGACAUUGUGUGAACGAAGGUACUGUAAGCAGUGGAGUGGCAUUACGUCCACGACCUGUUGAGGUUCAGCUUCGCUUCUAGGUUUCC
This 315-nucleotide non-coding RNA is filed under the name Trichomonas vaginalis G3. RNAcentral describes it as "Eukaryotic large subunit ribosomal RNA". It matches the Rfam family "Eukaryotic large subunit ribosomal RNA", at positions 3000 to 3401 of the family's 3401-position model. The record is from Rfam by way of RNAcentral. Lineage: Eukaryota; Parabasalia; Trichomonadida; Trichomonadidae.